This 174-nucleotide small RNA is filed under the name Gopherus agassizii (Agassiz's desert tortoise). RNAcentral describes it as "TUC338 (ENSGAGG00000005133.1)". Lineage: Eukaryota; Metazoa; Chordata; Testudines; Testudinidae. The record is from RNAcentral.
UUGACAACCUUGAAAACUAAAUUUCUUUAUGCACAGAAGAGGUGCAGUACAGGGAGCAGCCAAUCAGAAUUUUCCCACAAUGCCUCACAAGUGUGGCUCAACUCUGGCCUAGAGGGACCACCUAGAAAUGAGAGAUUUAUACACUCUUCAUGCCUCCUUCAGUCCUCUCUUAUG